This 419-nucleotide long non-coding RNA is filed under the name Mustela putorius furo (domestic ferret). RNAcentral describes it as "lncRNA (ENSMPUG00000024452.1)". The record is from RNAcentral. Lineage: Eukaryota; Metazoa; Chordata; Mammalia; Carnivora; Mustelidae.
GUUUUUUCCCAAUUAACAGAAAAGGAGGAGGUUGAUGGAGAGAAGUCUCUCAGUUUUAUGUUUCUUUUCCUCCACCAGGAUCUCAACUCUUCAAGGAUGAAGGAUGGUGAGGCUUUCUUGCUCACUUCAGAAUUCCCAACAAUUAACAGACUUGCUGGAUCAUAAUAAAAACAGUGAAAAUAUACAGGUCUGCUGGCUUCACCCAUUUUGGGUAAUACUUCUGGAAAGCAACAACAGGGGUACAGUUCUAACUUGGAAGGGAGGGGCCAAGCGGACUGUAAAAGAAACCCAGAAUUUUCCCCAGAACUGCUUCAAAUUAGCUACUGAGAGCAAAAGUAAAUUCAAGAGAAACCCCAUCAUUUUGGAAAGAAAGGGAAAAUGCCCCAGCACGACAUCUUGCCCAAAGCAGGUCAAUAGCA